UGGCGUUGAGUUGCUUAUUUUUGCACACGUGACCUAGAAAGUAUUUAUCACCAUAUUUGAAACAUUGGCCAUGAGUCCUUCUCAAUUUAGUAAGGUUUGUUUUUGGUUUUGUAGUGCUGUCAAUGUUUGCUUCAGCUUUUUAGCUAGUGGUUUUGCUGGAUAUGUUUAGCUAUAAGGUGGUUUAUUGAAUUAGAGGGAUUGAAGGUGGUGGUUCUAGUGGUGUAAGGAAUUUGAAUUCUAGGAAUGAAUUUUUGUUUUUUAAACAUAGUUGUAGUGGAUUACUCCCACA
This 289-nucleotide long non-coding RNA is filed under the name Ricinus communis (castor bean). Its description in RNAcentral is "long non-coding RNA (RCOM_LNC000680)". Lineage: Eukaryota; Viridiplantae; Streptophyta; Magnoliopsida; Malpighiales; Euphorbiaceae. The record is from RNAcentral.